CAGCAGUCGCGGUUAUACUGAGAGACGGAUUGAAAGAAAAUCGGUUAAAAAUAGUUAAAUAUUUAACUUAGAUAGAUUUAUAAGUCCAUACUGAUAAAAGGUGAAAUUAAUUUUUUAGUAUGUGGAAGUAUAAAAAAUGAAGUUUAAAUUGAAGCUAUUAAGAUAGAGGAAUGAACCAGGAUUAGAUACCCUGUUACACUUUAUUUAAAUGAUAAUUACCUGGGUACUAAGCAGCUAUUAUCUUGAAACUCAAAGGAUUUGGCGGUAACUUAGUCUAUUUAGAGGAACCUGUCCUGUAAUCGAUAGUCCACGCAAUAUCUUGCUUUAUCUUGUAGAAACCAGCUUGUAUACCGUCAUUAUUAGAUAACUUUAAAAAAAUUAUAGAGUUAUUGCAAUAGUUUAGCUAAUAAAUUAGAUCAAGGUGCAGCUUAUGGUAGAGUAGAGAUGGGUUACAAUAUAAUAGGCAUACACGGAGUAAUAAAUGAAUACUUAUUAUGAAGGUGGAUUUAAGAGUAAAAAGAUUUUAAUAAGAUUUUUUGACUUUAGCUCUAGGUUAUGUACACAUCGCCCGUCGCUCUCGUUAAUUAAAGCGAGAUAAGUCGUAACAAAGUAGGUGU
This 617-nucleotide ribosomal RNA is filed under the name Penaeus japonicus. Its description in RNAcentral is "partial small subunit ribosomal RNA". The stretch from base 222 to 617 matches the Rfam family "Microsporidia small subunit ribosomal RNA", at positions 752 to 1286 of the family's 1311-position model. Lineage: Eukaryota; Metazoa; Arthropoda; Malacostraca; Decapoda; Penaeidae. The record is from RNAcentral.